Magnolia sinica is the source of this 285-nucleotide long non-coding RNA. RefSeq lists it as uncharacterized. The record is from RefSeq and is a predicted model, not a curated record. The transcript has 2 exons. NCBI's taxonomy places the organism in Eukaryota, Viridiplantae, Streptophyta, Magnoliopsida, Magnoliales, Magnoliaceae.
AAGCUGCCCCGUUUAUUUUGAAUCCUACUCUGUACUCAUUGUCAACCUUCAUUCGAUUCUUAGAAAUAAGUUUUAGGCAUGGAUGAAUGGGAGCUAUGGAUCGAUUGAUUUUAUUUAUUUAUUUAUUUAUUUGAAACUAUUCGAUUUAUUAUUGUAAAUAUUAUUCGCGGCAGUUCGAUGCAUGUGAAAGGGCCACAUAGGCAUGUAUUUUUUUAAUAGGAAAACAAUCACUAGGCAUAAUCAACUUCCUAAGAGGAAUGUGAAAUCAAGUGGGCCUUGACCAAA